UGCAAGUCGAGCGAGGGAGAUUCCUUCGGGAAACGAAUUUAGCGGCGGACGGGUGAGUAACACGUGGGCAACCUGCCUUAUAGAGGGGAAUAGCCUUCCGAAAGGAAGAUUAAUACCGCAUAACAUUACAUUUUCGCAUGAAUAACUUAUUAAAGGAUUAUUCCGCUUUGAAAUGGCCCCGCGGCGUUUUAUCUUUGUGGUGGGGUAGCGGUUCCCCAGGGCCACUAUGCAUACCCGACGUGAGAGGGAGAUCGGCCACUUUGGGAGUGACACACGCCCCACACUCCUACGGGAGGCAACUGGGGGGAAUUUUGCAAUGUGGGAAAAACCCUGAUGCAACAACGCCGCGGGAGUGAUGAAGGUUUUCGAAUCAUAAAGCUCUGUUCUCAGGAACAAUAAUGACGGUACCUGAAGAAGACCCCGCGGCUAACUACGUGCCAACACCCGCGGUAAUACAUAUGUGGAGAGCGUUCCCCGGAAUACUGGGCGUAGGGGGAGUAUAAGCGAAUUUUUAAGUGAUAUGUGAAAUACCCGGGCUCAACUUGGGUGCUGCAUUUCAAACUGGGAUUCUAGAGUGCAAGAGAGGAGAGUGAAAUUCCUAGUGUCGCGGAGAUGUGCGUAGAUAUUAGAGAGAACACCAUGUGCGAAGGCGACUCUCUGGAGUGUCUGUGACGCUGAGGCUCGAACGCGUGUAGAGCACACAGAAUUAUAUACCGUGAUAGUCCACGCCAUACACUAUGAACACUAGGUGUAGGGGUUGUCAUGUGCUCUGUG
RNAcentral lists this ribosomal RNA (774 nucleotides) under Clostridium sp. Its description in RNAcentral is "bacterial SSU rRNA". It matches the Rfam family "Bacterial small subunit ribosomal RNA", at positions 56 to 845 of the family's 1533-position model. The record is from RNAcentral. Lineage: Bacteria; Bacillati; Bacillota; Clostridia; Eubacteriales; Clostridiaceae.